CAGGUAGAUUCGCUUUUGAGGCGGCCUUGCGAUGUAGUGGACGCGGCUUACCUACGAAUCACUAUCUUGCGUGGCGUCUCCUCCUUAUAUACGCGGGCCGCUCUCGUCCUUUGUUCCUCCUUCCGCCUCGCUCCGCCUGCCGCUGUACUACGCCUCCACAUCGCUUCCGCCCGUCGCUGUACUUCGCCUCCACAUCGCCAUGAAGGUGGUCCUUCGCUGACCUGUUCAUCCAUCGCUCGUCUUGUUCGUCUCUCUGUUCUCCGGUCCUCGUCGUCGUCAAGCUGGAUCGAGAGUUCGUGGGACGUCACCGAGCCGAACGUGUGCAGAUCGCGGAGGUGCCGUACUUUCGGUACUAGGAUCGGUCGGAUCGUGAAGACGUACGACUACAUAAACCACGUUGUCAUAACGCUUCCGCUUACGGUCUACGAGGGGAUUGGCAUCAUCGGUUCAUAAUCAAGUUUGACUCGUUAUCUAAUCUGCUGGGCAUAUCGACUCUGCGGCUAAGAUGCUUUUUGACUCGCUGUCUGAUGUGUCGCCGACAAGCCGACACUGGUCUAUUCGCGUCCGUGUUGCAUGUAUGUGUUACUACUGUGGAACAUGUGAUGGACAACCUCCAAUACAUGUUGACCUGUGUUGGUGGAUGAAAAGGGUAACCAUAUUUAUGCUGAGAUUCCUAGAAAUGAGGCAACCAAGUUCAAACAGCUUGUUGAAGAACAAAAAGUUUAUUGCUUCAAGAAAUUAUUGGUUUUCGAAGCAAAGCCUCUUACAAGCCGUUCCUUGCCAAGUACAUGAUUAGGUUCACACCCUGGACCACUGUUGUACAUGCUGAGGAUGUUGAUCCAGAGUUUCCUAUGUAUGUGUACAAACUAAUGCCAUUUUCCGAACUUCCAUCACGUGUUGGUGCGCAGGAUUUCUUUGUUGAUGUCAUUGGACAAAUUGUUGGUGUGUCACAGUUGGCAUACGUGCGAAUGCCUACAAACACAACAGACACUCCAAAGCAGGUCACUGCCUUCAGAGAUGAUAGGU
Triticum aestivum (bread wheat) is the source of this 1026-nucleotide long non-coding RNA. RefSeq lists it as uncharacterized. NCBI's taxonomy places the organism in Eukaryota, Viridiplantae, Streptophyta, Magnoliopsida, Poales, Poaceae. The transcript has 7 exons. The record is from RefSeq and is a predicted model, not a curated record.